CAAAUUGUGAGAAUAGAAGUACAAUGAUUUAAACUAAAUAAAUUAGUUCUUAUUGAUUGAAGUAACUUGUGUUCCUAUGCUUCUGAUAGUAAUUUUAGUGGGCAUUCUGUGUAUGAUUAAUAAACAAUUUCCGAACAUGUCAAGCAAUAGUUUAAAGAUAUAUUUCACUGACAAUGCAAUAGAAAGAGUGGAACAACGUAGACAUUACCUGGGCCGGAUAACAGUUAAUAACGUAGAACAGAUGCUCCAAUGAGAAAACUAUCGUGCCGUGACUCGAGCUGAGUUAUGCAUUUUACAUAGAACCGUCACAACCGAACGAUGGUUUAAUGAUAAAAAAAACAAAACAAUCAUAUGAAUUUAUGAACGUUGGCGCCAUCUUUGCUUUUUCUAUGCAGAAAAAUUAGAAAUCUAGAUUCGGCCAACUGAUAAACAUAGAUCGGAGCGAAUAGCUUUAUGAACGUUAUUAAUCAUUAUGGAUGGAACCGCCUCCGCAGCCGACGUCUUUGGAAGUAAGGAUUCGUCCGACUGUUUACGAGCCUGACGAUAACCAAGAACAAGCAUUUGUGACAUCAGUGCUGACGUCACUAUUUUUAAAAACAAUGAAGUGAAAAUAAAACACAAUACGGUUUUAAUCGUUUUAUUUGAUAUAAAAAUUACUUAUGUACAUUACAUAACGUACAUAAAUAGUCCAAUAUUAGCUUCGAGUCCGCCAUCUUGUAACGAUGGCGGGAACUAGUGUCCGGGAAGCGUCAUGCGACAACUACAUAGUAUAUCGUAUAGUAUGAGAAAGAAUUACAACAAAGAUAUCAUGAUACAUUACAAUUCCAGCACAAAUCCACGAGAAAAGAAGAAAGGAAGACGAAAUAAAAGAAAACUACAGACAAAUGCAAUAAAAUGUAAUAUGUAGUUAGUCUUAGUAAAUGGCAUUACAUGAUUCAUAGUAAUAAAUAUAUAUACAACGGCGCGCGACCCCGCGCGGAGCCGGCGGCUGGCGACCCCCGCGACCCCGCGACCCCCGCGGCCCUCCCGUGAUAUUUACAAUAGAAAUAAAAUUAAUUGUGACACACAGACAGACGGUAAGCUUAGUUUAGGGUAACGAUUCAUGAAUAUAUGUAUAACGAACCUUACGCGGCCGAGUUAAGGUAUCGUUUUGUGUGUUUAGGGGCGAGCUUGGUAUCAUUUACAUGAACGUGUUAGUCUGCCCUCGCGUUCCCAUACAGGUUCGGAACUCUUAUUUGGUAGGACUCUUUAGUUGCAUUUCGUUUACGUGAUUCAUUAAACAGUGACUUUAAGUGACUCGUCGGCUUAUUGUUAUGAAAAA
Molecule: long non-coding RNA, 1321 nt
Organism: Danaus plexippus (monarch butterfly)
Lineage: Eukaryota; Metazoa; Arthropoda; Insecta; Lepidoptera; Nymphalidae
Exons: 2
Source: RefSeq, a predicted model, not a curated record